CUUUAUAAUACAGCCCGUGUUUUACGACGUAACUCCCCGUGUCUUACGGCGUAACUUCCCGUGUCUUACGGCGUAACUCCUCUAAGACCUGCCGGGGUCUUACAGUGGAACUGCUACUGUCUUAUGCUGUCACUCCCAGUGUCUUAUAAUGGAACUUCAUGCGUCUUACCUUGCACUUACUGGGACUUCCCGGGUGACUCUCUGACAUCUACCAUGACAUUUUGGGGGAGCCUAUAUGGUUUAGUUUCACUUAUGACUUACAGUGUAACUCGCUAUGUCUUACAGUAAAACGUCUUACAGUCCAACUCCUUUUGUCUUACCAUGUAGGCCUACUUAUUAAAACUUAUAACUAUAAAAUCAGAUAUGAUUUACAGUUUUAAAAUACACGAAAAUCAUACUGCAAUAUGUAACCUGUUUAAUCACACAAUGACAACUUCAGAGUUAUAAAAUAUCUUUAUUCUUUACCACGCAGACACCUGGUACUUACAUGCUAAGUGCCCAAGACUUCCCCUGUAAGUACCAGGGACCGGGUUGUAUUGUAAAGUGCACACUGUUCACCCUUCCUUACCAUGCAGGUACCUGGUACUUACACUCUAAGCACCCGAGACUUCUGCUGUACCUACCAGGGACUUUCCCUGUAAUUACCAGAGACCUACACUGUACUUAUCAGGGAGCGGGCUGUAUUAUAAAUUGCACACUGUUCACCCUUCCUUACCAUGCAGGUACCUGGUACCAGGCAAAGUGCAUACUGGUAAAUAAAC
This is a long non-coding RNA of Epinephelus fuscoguttatus (brown-marbled grouper), 761 nucleotides long. RefSeq lists it as uncharacterized. The transcript has 3 exons. NCBI's taxonomy places the organism in Eukaryota, Metazoa, Chordata, Actinopteri, Perciformes, Serranidae. The record is from RefSeq and is a predicted model, not a curated record.